GACGAACGCUGGCGGCGUGCUUAACACAUGCAAGUCGAGCGGUAAGGCCCUUCGGGGUACACGAGCGGCGAACGGGUGAGUAACACGUGAGCAAUCUGCCCAUCACAUCGGGAUAACUCCGGGAAACCGAAGCUAAUACCGAAUACGACCACUUCAGGCAUCUGACGGUGGUGGAAAGUUCCGGCGGUGAUGGAUGAGCUCGCGGCCUAUCAGCUAGUUGGUGAGGUAACGGCCCACCAAGGCUUCGACGGUAGCCGGCCUGAGAGGGUGACCGGCCACACUGGGACUGAGACACGGCCCAGACUCCUACGGGAGGCAGCAGUGGGGAAUAUUGGACAAUGGGCGAAAGCCUGAUCCAGCAACGCCGCGUGAGGGAUGACGGCCUUCGGUU
This 391-nucleotide ribosomal RNA is filed under the name uncultured bacterium. RNAcentral describes it as "bacterial SSU rRNA". It matches the Rfam family "Bacterial small subunit ribosomal RNA", at positions 28 to 423 of the family's 1533-position model. The record is from RNAcentral.